RNAcentral lists this ribosomal RNA (468 nucleotides) under uncultured bacterium. RNAcentral describes it as "partial 16S ribosomal RNA". It matches the Rfam family "Bacterial small subunit ribosomal RNA", at positions 28 to 507 of the family's 1533-position model. The record is from RNAcentral.
GACGAACGCUGGCGGCGUGCUUAACACAUGCAAGUCGAACGGAAAGGCCCUGCUUUUGUGGGGUGCUCGAGUGGCGAACGGGUGAGUAACACGUGAGUAACCUGCCCUUGACUUUGGGAUAACUUCAGGAAACUGGGGCUAAUACCGGAUAGGAGCUCCUGCUGCAUGGUGGGGGUUGGAAAGUUUCGGCGGUUGGGGAUGGACUCGCGGCUUAUCAGCUUGUUGGUGGGGUAGUGGCUUACCAAGGCUUUGACGGGUAGCCGGCCUGAGAGGGUGACCGGCCACAUUGGGACUGAGAUACGGCCCAGACUCCUACGGGAGGCAGCAGUGGGGAAUAUUGCACAAUGGGCGGAAGCCUGAUGCAGCAACGCCGCGUGCGGGAUGACGGCCUUCGGGUUGUAAACCGCUUUCGCCGGUGACGAAGCGUGAGUGACGGUAAUGGGUAAAGAAGCACCGGCUAGCUACGUG